Molecule: unclassified non-coding RNA, 231 nt
Filed under: Caragana arborescens
Lineage: Eukaryota; Viridiplantae; Streptophyta; Magnoliopsida; Fabales; Fabaceae
Source: RNAcentral
UCGAUGCCUUACAUGCAGACCGACCUGUGAAUCUNUUUGAACACGUAGGGCUGGCUUGAGGUGUUCCACGCCUCGACCUCCCUUGAGGUAGGAGGGGGCCACGAGUGUGUUCCCCUACUUGCCCAAACACAAACCCCGGCGCUGAAUGCGCCAAGGAACUAAAUUUCGUUCAGUGCGCCCCCGUUGGCCCGGAGACGGUGCUCCUACGGGUGGUGUUUUGAAGCAUGACAC